This 269-nucleotide unclassified non-coding RNA is filed under the name Chytridiomycota sp. RNAcentral describes it as "partial contains small subunit ribosomal RNA, internal transcribed spacer 1, and 5.8S ribosomal RNA". The stretch from base 1 to 47 matches the Rfam family "Eukaryotic small subunit ribosomal RNA", at positions 1785 to 1831 of the family's 1831-position model. The record is from RNAcentral. Lineage: Eukaryota; Fungi; Chytridiomycota.
AAAGUCGUAACAAGGUAACCGUAGGUGAACCUGCGGUUGGAUCAUUACAAAAUUAGUCGGCUCGUGCAGUGGCCUCGGAGAAUACCCGAAGUCAUUGCAGUUUCUGCAACGGGUUUGCCCCCGUUUGGAAACAAACGAGCGAAACGACAACCCACAAUCAGGGCCCCUUUGCCUCAAAGAGGAAUUACAACUGUUUAUAUAUCAUCUAUCUGACACCAACCAUGAGAAACAAUGAGAAACAACUUUAGACAACGGAUCUCUUGGCUCUC